GAUGAAGAACGUAGCGAAAUGCGAUAAGUAAUGUGAAUUGCAGAAUUCAGUGAAUCAUCGAAUCUUUGAACGCACAUUGCGCCCGCCAGUAUUCUGGCGGGCAUGCCUGUUCGAGCGUCAUUUCACCACUCAAGCCUGGCUUGGUGUUGGGCGACGUCCCCUUUGGGGACGCGCCUCGAAACGCUCGGCGGCGUGGCACCGGCUUUAAGCGUAGCAGAAUCUUUCGCUUUGGAAGUCGGGGCCCCGUCUGCCGGAAGACCUACUCGCAAGGUUGACCUCGGAUCAGGCAGGGAUACCCGCUGAACUUAAGCAUAUCAAUAAGCGGAGGA
Molecule: unclassified non-coding RNA, 329 nt
Filed under: soil metagenome
Description: partial contains 5.8S ribosomal RNA, internal transcribed spacer 2, and large subunit ribosomal RNA
Rfam family: 5.8S ribosomal RNA (bases 1-120)
Source: RNAcentral